AAACUCUCACAUUGCGGGACGCAGUGUCCAUAACCAAAGAAUCGAGAGGCUGUGGCGAGAUGUUUACAUCUGUGUGUUGGAUGUUUUCCAUUCCAUCUUCUCAUGUUUGGAAAGCAUGGGUUUGCUACAUCCAGACAACGAGCUCCACCUGUAUGCUCUCCACUGGGUCUUCAUACCUGUGAUCCAGUCCCAUCUCGACUUCUUUGUCCAGGGAUGGAACAACCACAGCAUCCGAACUGCCAGGAAUAUGUCUCCCCUGCAAAUGUGGCAUGUGUUCAGGAACAGUGAAGAUAUCAUGCAGGUCAGUGAAGAAUAUGGGACUGACUGGAGUGGACCAAGUGCAGCAGGGGUGGACACUCAUCUUGACAUUCCAGAGACUGAGCUUCCAAGGCAGCUUACUGAAGCAGACUUUGCCCUUUUACCUCAACCAAGCACAGAGCAACGUGACUACGGUGUUCAACUUUAUUGUGAAACUGUGGAAGUAUUGUCUAGAUUAUUUUAAGGAGAACCAGGGCAUGUCCAAGAUACAGCACAACUACAGUAAUUCAGCCCCCCAACAGACCGGAAGACUUUGUCUUUGACAAACUACCCUUCUCCUUGUAGUCCUCUCCUGACAAAAUGCAUAUAUAUAUGCUCACAGAAGACAAGACACCGAACAUUUUUGAUAAAAAGGGAAGUCCUUGAUUGAGAUUAAUUAACUGUAACAUGCCUGUAUUUUGCUUUACUACACUACUAAGAAAGACAAUAAAGUGUUAGUUACUAGUCAAGAUUUUUAUGGGGGAAAUCAGGUACCACAACAAUAAUUACAGGGAGAACAGAAAAGUACAGAAGGUAAUUUAAAGAUAUAACAAACAAAAUAAAUUCAUGUAAUUAUAGGUCUGUGGCGAGUGGGGCGGGGCCGAGAGGCGUGGGGAACAGGAGUGAGGCCAGGUGUAGUGAUUGGAGAUGAGCUACACC
Long non-coding RNA from Carassius auratus (goldfish), 957 nucleotides. RefSeq lists it as uncharacterized. NCBI's taxonomy places the organism in Eukaryota, Metazoa, Chordata, Actinopteri, Cypriniformes, Cyprinidae. The transcript has 3 exons. The record is from RefSeq and is a predicted model, not a curated record.